GAUGAACGCUGGCGGUAUGCCUAACACAUGCAAGUCGUACGAGAGUUUUUAACUCUAGCGGCGGACGGGUGAGUAACACGUGAGAAUUUGCCUUUAGGAGGGGGACAACAAUUGGAAACGAAUGCUAAUACCCCCAUAUGCUUUCGAGUGAAAUGGAUUUUAUCCGCCUAGAGAGAAGCUCGCGGCUGAUUAGCUUGUUGGUAAGGUAAGAGCUUACCAAGGCGACGAUCAGUAUCUGGUUUGAGAGGACGAUCAGACACACUGGAACUGAGACACGGUCCAGACUCCUACGGGAGGCAGCAGUGGGGAAUUUUCCGCAAUGGGCGAAAGCCUGACGGAGCAAUACCGCGUGAGGGAAGAAGGUCUUCGGAUUGUAAAGCACUUUAAGUUGGGAGGAAGGGUAGUAACCUAAUACGUUGCUACUUUGACGUUACCGACAGAAUAAGCACCGGCUAACUUCGUGCCAGCAGCCGCGGUAAAGUGACUACUG
This 490-nucleotide ribosomal RNA is filed under the name uncultured bacterium. Its description in RNAcentral is "bacterial SSU rRNA". It matches the Rfam family "Bacterial small subunit ribosomal RNA", at positions 28 to 534 of the family's 1533-position model. The record is from RNAcentral.